GGGUGAGUAACACGUGGGUAACCUGCCUUGUAGAGGGGGAUAGCCUUCCGAAAGGAAGAUUAAUACCGCAUAACAUUAUUUAUUCGCAUGAAUGAGUAAUUAAAGGAGUAAUCCGCUACAAGAUGGACCCGCGGCGCAUUAGCUAGUUGGUGAGGUAACGGCUCACCAAGGCGACGAUGCGUAGCCGGCCUGAGAGGGUGAACGGCCACAUUGGAACUGAGACACGGUCCAGACUCCUACGGGAGGCAGCAGUGGGGAAUAUUGCACAAUGGGCGAAAGCCUGAUGCAGCAACGCCGCGUGAGUGAUGAAGGCCUUCGGGUUGUAAAGCUCUGUCUUCUGGGACGAUAAUGACGGUACCAGAGGAGGAAGCCACGGCUAACUACGUGCCAGCAGCCGCGGUAAUAC
This 406-nucleotide ribosomal RNA is filed under the name uncultured bacterium. Its description in RNAcentral is "bacterial SSU rRNA". It matches the Rfam family "Bacterial small subunit ribosomal RNA", at positions 104 to 526 of the family's 1533-position model. The record is from RNAcentral.